GGCAGCACCACAUUAGCUUCUGUUGUUCUUCAUAGAAAGCAAACGAUAAAAAAUUUCUUUUCAGUUUUUCAUCUCACAAGGAAAAGAAAAAAUAAAGAUAGAAGCUUAGGAAGUGAAAACUUUAAAUACAAGAUUAUUAAAGCAUGGGAAGGUAAUUUUUAAUUUUUUUAUUCUAGCCACCUUAGCUAAUUUUAAUUUUUACUAGAAUAUUUUCUUGUUUAGUUUCUUAACCCCCUAUAUCUCAUUUACGCUCUCUUUCGUAGUGUAGUCUUCUCUUCAUUUUUUGUGGAAUGUUUUCGGCGAUUAAAUCUGAUUCUAUUCUAUAGUAAAAUCCCAAAGUUUCAUGGGAUGGAACUUUAUCCAGGCAAUGGUGCAGAGGGGUUUUAUUAAAUGUUACUGAAUUUUUAUUGAUGUAUGGUUUGUGAAUAACCCAAGAGAGAUAGCAUGAAUGAUGACUGAAACUGUAAUCCAUAUGUUGUUUCAUCUUCGGUUACAUAAAUAAAGAAUCUUUCAAACGAGCUACCAUGGUCCGCAGUUCAAAUAGUAGUUUUAUAUCUCCUUGUUUAUUCAAUCGUUUUCCCUAUAUGAUUAGCUCACCUAACUAGUCUGUAGAUAACUUAAAUUUGCCCAUUUCUGUCUCUUUUUGCAGUACACUGCAACAGAAUACAAAGCUCUGUUUUACAAUGGACAUAUAUGUGUUUGUAUGUUGUUGGAUAAUCUUAGUGCCUACAAUACAAAGCUGGUGUUUUUCAUCUAAAUGUUAGUUUUGUUUAAUGUAUUUGUUCUGAUUUUUAAGAGUUUAUAGUGUCAUUUGUCCAUCACUGUACUAAUAUUUCAUGAGAAAUUAUUCAAUGUGAUACUCUUUUCUAUGGAUAAAAAAAGGAGUUUAUUCUAGAGAUGGUUGGAGUAGGCUAGUCAAUAACCAAAAAAAUCAAAAAAUCGAACCAAACCGACAAGAAUCAAACCGAUGGUUAUUUUCUUUUUAUGGUUUGGUUUGAUUUUAGAAAUUCAAAAACCGACUAAAUUAGUUUUGGUUAUGGUUUUAAUCACUAACCGAUCCAAACCGACCCAUGAACACCCCUAAUAAGGAUAAUAAAAUUGGUACUUUCUCUAUUCCAAAUUAGUUGUCAUGUUUCAUUUCUUUCUAGAGUCAAACUAUUUGAACUUUUACUGACAUUUUAAAAUGUAUAUUUUUUUUCAUCAAAUUGACAAGACAAAAGUUGCAAUAGUGUAGUAUUUUCAUAUAGUUUUUAAAUAACUAAAUUAUUAAUCGUAAAAAUAGAGUUGAUCUAAUCCAAUUUGACUUCUAAAAUUAGACGAACUAACUCUAAAAAAGCACAAAAAAUGACAAUCAAUUUGGAAUAAAAUAAAUAUACUCAAAAGAAGUAUAAAAUGCAAACUAAACAAGUUUACAAUAUGCUGAAAGAUUUUACCUUUGGGUUAAUUGAUCACUUCUUUAUAGGUGAGAGUCCCAACUAUAAACCUUUUUUCAUUGAUAAAAGUAUUGGAAAUUGGAAUUAGUUCGACUAAUUGAGAUUUACUCAGUGAACCAAAAAAAAGGUGGCUUUGAGCUACACCAUUCAUGUUGAUGGAAGUUGGAAAAAGUUGCAUGGCCCUCCACUACAGCUCUUUUUUUAUGUUGGCAUGUCAAUUGUGUUAAAUUUUGGCCACUCUUCGAACUGUCUGUGCCAAAAUGUUUGGCCUUUCUACUUCAAUACUGCAAAGCCACGAUCUAACUUUGCGUUUAUAUCUAAUGCUUCUACCAGCACUUAUUAAACUACUAUAGAACGACAAAGAAAUUGUUAGGGGAAAAAACAUUUAGAAUGUCAAGAUAAGACAGAAGGACAAUUGUUCCAUGCUAUAAGUAUGGGCCAGGUACAAUUCCCGGCCUAUCAUGUAAAGUCUAUAUAUUAGUAUGUGUGGAUGUAUAAACAGUGUAAUUUUAUGUUGAAAGAGGUUCAGAUGAACCCCUCGAUCCUAUCUGGAUCCGCCUCUGAGCGUAUGUAAGUUGAUUUUGUUUUUGUACUAUAUUUAGUUAGGUUGAGAUAUUAUAUACGCAAAUAUACUUAUUAUAGGCGCGAGGUAUUUCAUCAUUAUAAUGAGCGUGAGUAAAGUGUAUUUCGCCACGGUUUGGAACUAAAAUACUGCUAUCAAUGCAUCAUAUUUAAGAAAAAUCUCACUAUCUUUUACAAAUCUAGACACAAAUAACCCCAUUUACAAACAAAAAAAAAAUCUUAAUAUGCAAAGAUGCUCCGUCGGACACCGUUGACGGAAGCUUUACCUUUCAGCUUAUGUGUUGGGGAUAAGAGGCGGUAGAAAACACGAGCAAAAUGAAGAACGACUAAAUAGGAGGAUCCAACUUUAGCAAAAUAUUUUAUGGUCUAGUCACAAUAGAGAAUUGAGUUUCUUUCUUUUUUCCAAUUCUCUUAAAUUGGAAUCGUGUACUUGGAAAUUCAGUACUUCAUAAUAACAAUUGAAGCACAUUGUGCUUGUGAGGUACCAUAUUAACCAACAUAAGGUAUUUUCUAGUAGUUUAUUCUGUAGUUCAUUCUUUCAUGAACUAUUUAAAGUGCAGAAAAGAUCGUUAAAAAUAAUCAAAGCGUAAUCACUCAAACUAACCAGUUUUUGUCAUCAACAUGUACAACAACAACAAUAUAUUCAAUGUUUUUCCACAAAUUGGGUUUUGGCGAAGGUAGAAUUCCAUAGCGCGUUCAACUGCCUUAGAGGUAAGGUAUAAAGUUGUUGUAGAUCCCGGGCUCAAAGCAAAAUGGCUAAAAACAUAAUAUACGAACAAGAAAUAUAGAUAAUAGUAAUAGAUUGAACAGCAAGAAAUAACAGAAACAAGAGCACUACAAAAUAAUACUACAAUCGAUCUACCUGAAAUAACAAACAUCACCCAAACUCCAAAAACAAGAAACCACAAGGGUAGCACUAGGACUAUUAAUACGGACCAAAAAAAUGUUUUUUGAUUAACGUGCAAUGCAAAAAACUUAUUUUCCGUAUUUAUAAUUUGGGUGAGGCAAUUUAUGCAUUAUGCAGUAGAUCUUAGUGAGCAGGAACAUUGCCCCAACUUAAACCACUCUUUCUUUCUUCUUCAAGUUGUUGUUUUUUGCCUUUAUAGAAUGUGGCUUUUGACCACAAAGAAAAAGGACGGGCAGACUAUGAAUGGUCCACAAAAAUUAGACUUUGGAGCAUGGAAUCUGUUGGUGUAUAUGCAUUUUAUUAUUAAAUUAAUAUAUUAAGUGUAUAUGUUAAUGUUAUAAAUUAUGUAUUAUGAGUAUUAUUACUUACAUCUGUAAGUGGAAGAAUGUGGUCAUGAGUUUCUUGAAAUUCCUAUAACUACUAAGUCUUUAUUUGCCCAUUAUACUACUUAAUUAUGUUUGUAACUGUGUAACAUCCAACCAUUCAUGUCUCCACUUUACUACACCACAUUCCUCCUAUUCAAUAUAAGGAUGGAUACCUCACCAAUAAAUAGUGGUGUUUUCUUCCUUUGUGUUCAUAUAUUAGAGAUACGAAAAAGAUGAUAAGUGUAGAAAAAUAUUAUUAUGUGUAGUAGUGAAAAAGAAAGUUAAGGCAUACAAAAAUAUUCUAAGUCUUCGACUAUAUUCAUUAUACAAAAGAGAGUAGUUAUAUUAGUGAAAGAAAGAGUUGAAACAAAGAAAAUACUCUAAGGGAUCAUUUGGUAGUGUGUAUAAGAAUAAUGCAAAAUAUGUUGCGUUAGUAAUGCUUGUAUUAGUUAUGUUUGUGUUAGCUAUGCUUGCAUUAGUUAUGCUUGUAUUUCUUUUAUGCAUUGUUUGGUUUGAUGUAUUAAAAAAAACAUGAAUUAAAUAAUUUCUAAAAAAAAAAUUCUUUUUACAAAAAUAUCCUCCAAAUAUAUGUUGGAAAGGAUGUGAUCUUUCUUUUGAGGGAUAAUAGUAUCUUUAAUUAUGUUAAUGCAUGCAGUGGAUCCUUUGCGUUGCUAAUACCAUAGAUUUUUAGGUAUUGGUAAUAUACACUUCAAUACACAAUAGAGUAUAUAUUAGUUAUACAUAAGGUGAAAAAGUAUAUCAAACAGGUAUUAAUAGUACACAUUAAACUAAUACAUGCAUUAACUUUUCAAUACAAUCUACCAAACGACCUCUAAGUUUUUAACUAUAUUCACUAUACAAAGAGAGUAAAUAUAUGUUGAAGGAAGGUGUUCUUGGUGGAGAUUUGGACUCUUCAACUAAUCCGGAGUUGUUUGAGUUGUACAUCGUUGAUGGGUUGUUGUAUCCUUGAGGGGACAAGUCACGAGAUAUACUGCUAAAUCGGUGUAGAUUAUACCGCAGGGGCUUAAAUCUCUUUAAAGAAAGCGAGAUAUUCACGCCUCAGCCAAGAAGAAGAUUAUUUUAAUUUUUUUAUUUUUAUUAAUUUUAUUUCAACUGUAAUCAUUUAUUGUAAUUGUGGUAAUUACCCCAACAGAAUCUAUUGUAGCCCACUUAGUGCAAAUGCCCAUAUCAAAUCAAUUAAGGAUCGUUUGGUAGAGUGUAUAGGAAUAAUGCAUUAUAUAGUGUAUUAGUAAUAUUUGCAUUAGUAAUGCGUGUAUUAGUAAUAUUUGCAUUAUACUUCUAUUAGUUACGCAUAUAUUAUUUCUUAUACAUUAUUUGGUUUAAUGUAUAAAAAAUAAUAUAUCUUACAUAAUUUCUAUAAAAGACGUAUUUGUUUACAAAAAUACCCUUAUUUGACUUUGUACACUUUUCUUACAACAAAGUUCUUUUGUCAUAUCAAACAUAAUUACAAUUGUUGAACUAGUAUAUAGAGAUUUAGGAUUAAUUGCAAAACCUUCGUCUUUGUGCAUUAAAUGUUACACCGAUGGAUUAACAUGGUCGAAACAAAAAUAAAAUACAAGAUGCUCAAGAUUUUAUUUUUUUUAAUCUUUUUAAAGACCCUCGAAGCAAAACAAAAAUAUGUUGCAAUUAUUUAAAUCAACUAUUCAUUGUUGUAAAUUAAAAUGGCGGGAAAAGAAGUUGUGAAAUAUUUUGAGAGGGAAAUUGAGGGGUAUUAAGGUCAUUAAUAAGUUAAUGCAUAUGUUAAAAGCCUUUGUAUUACUAAUACAUAGAAAAUGAAGUGUAUUACUAGUACACACUUCAAUACAUAAUAGAGUGUAGGCAAAAAGGCGUACCAAAGAAGGUACGAAUAGUACACAUUAACUAAGGCAUGCAUUAUAUUUUUCAAUACACUCUACCAAACGACCCCUUAGUGCGAUGACACUUUUGUCUGGGGCAUGUGCAUAAAUAUUUGUUUUUGAAAUCGUCAUUUAAUUUGCAAUCGAGGUUCAUAAAUAAAUUCCAAACUUGUCCAUUUCGGAUUAAACUUGAGACAUCUACAACUGAAGUUAUGAAAAUUCUAGUCUAAGUUUGCAAACUUCUGACAAGUUUAAUUAGAUUGAAGCUAUUAAAGAUCAUUUGAAGGGAUUUUAGCAUUUCAAAAAAGGUUUGCUUACCGAUUAUAAAGCAAGCAAAACUUUAACUUCUUAAAUACCCAAUGUCAUGAUUUGAAACUGACAUUAGCUGGCUUUCAAAUGCCUGGUGCAUUGUGGGACGAGCGAAUACUAGAUCAUAUAUGAUGUUUUGAACUGUUAUUGUGAAUACUAGUACCUUAUAUUGUUAAUAUAAAGAGAAGGUGAGAAAAAAGAUUCUUAAAGCAUUUUAACUUACCUUGUUGUCCCUAGGAGAUGUGCCAAUGUGCCAAGAGUUUCGAUGUUGCACUUCAAAAUGUCUUCUUAAUGACAAGCAAGUUUGCCAAUACUGCAAUGAACAAGAUCAUUGUGUAUGGUUAUGAGAAUCUCGUCUUUAUAAUUGAAUGGAUUGUGUUCCUGAAUCAAUAGCAAUGACAAUGGGUCGGAUUGAAAAUGACAAAUUAUGUCAAAUGAAGCAGGUUGAAAUCUUCACAGAUUUAUGCAAAUUUGCCCCUUCCCACCCCUUUUCCAUCCCUAAAAUCAUCCUUAUUUUUUAUUUUUUCUUGCUUUAAUCUUAUUUUGAAAAACCACUAGUACCAUUCCUUUUGCUUUAUGCCCAGGGUACUAUUUUUCUUUGUUUAUCAUUGAAUUGAAAUCAUUUCCAUCCUGAAAAAUAACCUGUCUAGAUAAUCAGCACCUGAUUCGAUUUUCUUCGUAUAAUAAACCACACAAAUCCUGUGUUCGGUGAAAGUGUUUAAAUAUAAUUCCUUUAAGCUUUCUCUCUCCCUAUUUAUGAAGUUCAUGAUUUUUUGGCUCAAAUUCACCAAAAAACUCAGCCGACUCAGUCGGUGAAGACCAUAGAAAAAAAUAGCUAUUUCUGUAGGAGCGCCACCCACUGCCACCAUAAUUUCAUUUUAGUCCCAAUAAUCAAUAACAUACUUAACUUUUGAUACACAAUAAGAAUACCAAUAAAAUGCUUGAUUUUAGUCUUUAAUUAUCAAGAUUUUUGACGAAUUUUUAUAAUUUUACAGAUCUAAAAAUUUUAGUUGUUUUAUCGACAACCAUGAUGUUACCAGCACUGACAACUUCUAUACUCUAUUGACAUCUUGCAGCAGGAGAAUGAAGAGGAGGGUAGAUUUGAGUAUACUAGAAUUUGAAAAUUUUGGCAUUAUUGUGUAUCAAUUUUGAAGCUCGUUGAAUAGUUAUUGAUGAAAAAAAAAAGAGUAUACCAAAAUUGGCGGUGUUAUUGCCAUUGCUAUUAAUAAUAGAGAUUUCGAUUGAAGAAUUCAAAACUCAGUUUAAUUUAUUUUUUUUCAAUUUAUAGAUAAUAGUAAAGGCACUAAGUUGCAUUUUGAUUUUUUUGUUGGUGAAGGGGUUUAGAACAGGAACAUAUUUGCCCCUAAUUCAUAAUUUGGGUCUGCCCUGUUCAACUUUUUUCUUCAAUUUAUCAAAAAUUGAAAAAGAAAAAAGAGUAGAGAGGAAGAUAUGAUAUGGUGGAAGAGGAAGAGAUGAGGAAGAAAGAAAAGUGUUUUAAUAUUUUUAAAAAAGAUAAUAUUACCAAAAAAAAGUUAAAAAAAUAAAUAAAAAACGACAUUAUACACGUGUUAAGUGCGUGCAUAUCACAUUCCACAUAAAAUCUGACUUUAUCUUAGGAGGAAAGUAUUAAUUUCACUUUAAAUAAAAUUAAGGGUGUAGUAAGUCGUCAUAUUAAUUAGGGUGUGUCUUCGACUUUUUGAAUAUAGUUUAGAAUGAAAAUGAUACUUUUUUCUAUUUUUUUUUUUGGAAAAAAAUCACACCAACAUUUUCCAUUAUAACACACCCAAAGUGUCAUCCGUUAGAUGUCUACAUCAAAAUCGUCAUGAAGCAUGAAAAUGUUGUUAUUUUAAGAAGUCAUUUCAUAGUAGAAGAAUUCUUCAACUUGUCUAUUUCAUCAAAUACGUUGCCAAACACGUGUUUAUUAUAGUUAACAAAUUGGGAAAUUAACUGGUAAAAAUAUUCAUGAAAAUAAUUCACGUACAGUACUACACGGAAAUUUCUUGGUCUUGGAUAGAAGGGUUCAUACAGAUAGAAAAUACAUAGGGUCAUAAUUCAUAACAAAAUAAAAAGAGUAAAGUAAUUAAAUACAAUAGUACAUAUUAUUAAAAAGCUACUAUUAGUAAGCACCCUCUCCGUUUACUUUGGCGGAAUAGCUUGAAAGGUCGUUGUAUUUAUAUUCAUUUGUCAGCUAGACCCUCCUUACAUAUGCUUGUCCCUUUAUCAACUGAACGCUUCAACAAAUAUAAGUAUAUAAAUAAAUUUGUCAAGUUAUUUCAGCUUUUAUUUUACUUGAUCUUUAUUUAUAAUUUCUAAUCUAUAAUUUAUAUCUAUAAUAUAUUAAAAGUGUAAAGACUAAUUCAAACUUUUUAUCCUUCAUUAAAAGUCUCCUCAAUAGACAAAAUCGUCAUUUCAUUAUUUUUCCUCAAAUUAUUUUUAAUUUUAUUAGGUUAAUUAAUUUAAUUUAUGAGUCCUUUUAAAUGUAGGAUUUAUUAGGAAUAGAAUUAGUUUAGAUAUAAAAUUUAUGUAAUAUUCUUCAAUUUAGGUAAAUCUAUUUUCCUUUUCUAUUUUAACAAGGAUGUGGUAAAGACGUAUUAGAUUUUUCUUCUUUUUUUNNNNNNNNNNNNNNNNNNNNNNNNNNNNNNNNNNNNNNNNUAAUUAGUUAGUUUUUUUUUGGGGGAGGGGGGGAGGGGGGCUGGGGUUUCUUUUACUUACUUUAUAACAUUAAUUCCUUCCGUAAUUAGUUGAAUUUUUUUUCUUUGUUUUGUUUAUUAUAGGUUCUUUUACUUAUUUUAUUAUUUGCUUUUAUAUUUUAAUAUGAAUGUAUUUUUUUAUUUUAGCAAUCGACUUCCAAUUAUGGUAUUCUAUUUUGGAAUGAAUUCUAUAUAUGAUGCAAUUUAUAUAUGUCCUUUUUCAUAAAUUUUUGCAAUAUAUUGUUUAAAUUUUGUUUGUAUUUAUUUUUGGUUCUUAAUGUAUGUACUUUGCAUACAAAUUUGUAAUUUAAUUAUAUUGUAAAGAUUAUGUUUAAUCGUAUUGUUCUGAUAAUACGAUCAUAUUAUAUGUUUUCUUAUGUUGUCAUCUGAUGCUUUUUUUUUUUAUGUUUAAUACAGGUGGUAGAUAGAAUAUUUGGUUGGGCUUUGGCAAAAUUUUAAUGUAAAGGCAAAGUUUAAUCGUGUGAAUAUUAUAAUUCAAAAAAUACCUCCUAAUUGAGUCAUUGUAUAAAAAUAAUGGCAAAAAAAGGUUGAUUGUAUGUUAGUGUAUAUCCUUAAUGAAUUCAACAAAUUGAUGCGACGGUUUGAUGGAUAACUUGUGUCUAUUAUAGGUUCGGCUAACACUCUGUCUUUAUAUACCGUUGAUGAAUUCAACCAUUUAACAUUUCUUAUUUGAAUUGAGUUAUAGUGUUAUAUGAAUUUGACCAAUUUUUAGUUUCUCACGUUUUUUUUUUACUUGUGCAUAUUUUCGUGCAUUCAAAAAUAAUUCCAUCCACUUUGGUUUAAGAAUAUUUUUUUGUUGUCAUUUUGUUCAUUUAUUGUUUUGAAAGUAUAAUUAUAUAUAUGCAACAAUCAAAGUAGCUAAUUUAUCCUCUCUCUAUAUAUAAUUGACUAACGUGAUAUACACGUGCGGAACCCGUACACUUGACUAGUAUAUAUAUAUGUGUGUUACUUAUCAAUUUUAGCAAAUCAAGAUAGUUUAUUAUUUAUUUAUUUUAAUAUUUUUAGUAUUAAAUAACUAUAUAAAGUAGUAAUUGUUGUAUUUAGAGCUGCAAAGUAUCAUUAAUAAGAUUAAUUUGAUAAAAAUAUAUUCCUAAUACUGCCUCCAUUCAUAAUUAUUUAUCACUUAUUUUAAUUAUAUUUUCACUUUUACUUAUUAUUUUUGACAUAUCAGGAAAAAAUUAUUUUUUUUAUUUGAUUUUAAUAUUAAUUAUUUAUUCUCUAAAUUAUUUUUAAAAUAAAAUAAUAUCCAUCAAUUAAUAUAAAUACUGUGGUAGAAAAUAAUUACUUUUAUAAAUAUAUCAAAUUAAAAUAUGACAAAAUAAAAAUAAAUGAAGAAAAUAAAAAUUUUCUUAAAUAAUGAUUCAGGUCAUUGGGGUCAAGCACUAUAAAGCAUAGGGGUAUUAAACCUAGUACUCAAGUCAUUGCUUCUUUGUAGUCGUUUGACCAUAAGAGGUUUUUACUUUUUUUUUGGAAAAAUUAUUUCACUUUAAUGAAAAUAGUAAAAAUUGUAAGUGUUUGUCCAUGAGAAUCUCAAAUAUAAUUGUGAAAUUGUACUUGAAAAAGUGAAAAUAAGUUUUACUUGUUUUUAUUUUUUUCACUCAUACUUCUCUCAUAAAAUUUUAAAAAUAACCUUAAUUUAUAUUAAUGCGAGACAUAACUUCAAAUUCAAUUUUAACUCCAACUCAACAAAUUAUAAUUGAAUUCAUGGCCAAACGGGGCCUUAUUUAAGACGAUUCCUUUUGCUAACGACAAAGAUAACAAUCUCAAGUUCCUUCCCUAGAAAGUCACAAGACAAGAUUUGGAGCAAAAAGUCAAAUCCAAAAAAAAAAGUACGUACACAUCAUAAUUAUUGAGGAAUGAGAGGGAUGGAUUGAAUUUCUUUUAUAAUUUUCUUUAGUAGGGAAUAUUUUAACUAGCUAUGUGUGCCUAUAUAUAUUUAUAUCCAAUGCAAACGCAAAUUUGUAGGAUUAAGUAGGCGUUAUGGACAUAUAAUUUUAUUUGAGAAAUUUAAAAUUAUUAGAUGAAAUCAGUGUUGGGUAUGUAAUUUUAUAUUAUGAGAUAAAAACUUAAAUUUUUUAAAAAAUUUAAUUUGAAAUAUCACAUCAUAAUUUGAGAUUUUUUACAAUAAAAAAAUUGAUCCAUGGGUUUAUAUUUUAUAAGAGAAAAACCCAUCACUUAUAUCUACCAAUCAUUUAUUUUAUCUGUAAAUAAACUUUAUAGUUCAUAUUAUUACUUUUUAUACUAUUUGUAUCUCAUAUAACCAUUACACUCACUAACAUAUAAAAUUUAUUAUUAUUUCAACCCAACUCCUACAUUAUCAUUAUUAUUCAUUAAAUUCAUUAUUAUUGACCAACAAACAGUUUAAAGUAACAAAGUUAGUUUAUUUUUUUGAUUAUUCGAUCGAGAAGUGCAAGCUCAAUAUAAAGAGAUUGUUUGUAUUAUGUGAGAAGAUAAUGGUAAAGAGUAAUAUACUACAAUUCAUAUUCCGUUUUACCUUUUUUUCAUUGAAUUAACUUGUGUGAUUAGUAAAUAUUGUAUUUUUAGAAUAUUUUUUGUAGGGUAUCAUACAUACUUUCGUCAUAAAUUUUUGCUUAUUUGACAAAAUUGUAUAUAGAAUUGGGGCCAAUUUUAAUAAUUUUAACCACUUAAGGGAAUUUCAUGUUUAUAAAAAAAUAUACAAUAUCAAAAAUUUAAAUUAUGUGUCUAAAUAAAACUUUAACUUCAUCUCAUGAUUUCAAAUCGUGAAUUCAUCUAGUACAAUCAAACGAGCCCCAAGUGAAUUUUAAAAGCUGGAUAAUUAUUAAAUUAACAAAAACGCCACUAAAUUAAUGGACGCCAGGAGUACUGAUUAUUCACUAGUGAAGAACAACGAAUUAAUAAUGUCAAAAUGCAUACCCUAGAAAGUCAACAUGAUCAUGUUACAUACUUCCUAAGUAAAUAAUUAUUUGUCUCAAAUUGAGAUGACACAUUAAUUAAGAAAAAUAAUUAAUAACAUGCCUAGUUUACCGUUGUACCCCUAUUAAAUGAUGUUUUACAUUUUAAUUUGAAAAAAAAAGUAAUUAAUGCAAAGGUUAAACAUGAAAAAAAAUUAUUUCUUCUUGAUUAAUGAAAAAAGACAAGUAAAAUGAAAAAUUAAAUUAAAAAAUUUAGACGAAGGGAGUAUAAAUUUUCUAAAAAAUAAAAAAAUGGGGCAGGAAAUUAUAAAAUAAAAAAUCAAAUUCGCACCAACAAAAUAAAAAUUCAAAUAAUCAACUAAUUAAGCUACUAAAAUCUUCCACCAUUAUCAUAUGACCCUGUUUUUUGGGUCAAAAAUUGUUUGGUGUUAAAGUACAAAUUUGGAAACCAAUUUAAGAACUAAUUUGUGAAAUUUUCGGCACUUAACUAACUGAUGAUUUGACAUUUUAGUUCACGAGGUCCCACGAGGAUUUGAUUAAUCUCAACACGAAAAAUAUAUUUUAUCCAAUCACUAUAUAUAUAUAUAUAUAUAUAUAUAUAUAUGAGGGAUAGAACCAGGGUUGAGGGGCCUUAUUCAAAUUUCAAACAUCUUUCAACUGAAAAUUAUGCUAUGUUUAUACAACUUUAAGUUAAAUUUAAUUUUUUACUAUCUAAUUUUCAAAUAAAAUGAAAAAUUAUUUGAAGAAAAAGUGCAUACGAGUACUAAUUUUAUAGCCGAAUACUGUUCUUUUAAGUACCACUAGUUAUACUGCACAAUUACAAAAUAUAAAUCUCUUAAAAAGCUCAAUGACAUUCUUAUCUCAUAUAGUGUCAAUGUGUGAGUCCGAAGCUUCAAGGAUAAUUUUUUUCAUCAAAAAUUUCAAGAAGACAAUUAAAAUUUGAAACAAACUAAAAGGGCAAAAGCUUGGGACAACCCACGUCUUAGUGCAUCCUUAUGUCAUUUGCGAGCUUUUUUUUUAAAUUAUUUUUCUUUAUCAAGGCGUGGGUUAUCCCAUGGUUUUGUCCAUUUGAUUUUUUUUCAAAUUUUAACUGUCCCUUCAAAAUUUUUGGUGGAAAAAAGUUAUUCUUUCGACUCCGGAUUCGUCAUGUGUGAUGUAACAUUCGAUAGAUGUCCACAUCAAAAUUGUCAUAAAGCUGUUAUUUUACGAAGUCAUUUCAUAGUGGAGGAAAUUCUCCAACUUUCCUACUUCAUCAAGUACGUUGUCAAACACCUCUUUAUUUUAGUUAACAUAUUAGGUACCAAUAAUUGCUUAUAUAGGCCAUAUAAAUAUUCAGUAAAAAGAAUUCACGAAGUGUUCAUACAGCUGCAAAUACAUAGCCAAAGUUAUUUAAAAAUAUUUUUUUUUUUCUAAAAUAGGUCAUAAGUUCAUAUGAUUUGGAGCAAACACAUUAUCAAGGAGUGUGGUGGGAUGAUUGAAUUUCUUUUAUAAACAAUAUUUAAUGAAUCAAUUUUGUCUUAGGAAAUAGUCAUUAUAUAGAAUUUUAAAUUUUGCAUGUGAAAUUUUAAAAUAUUAUAAGGAAACUUGAAAAUUUUAUAUGAAAUUUCACCUGUAGAAUUUUUAGAAUUUAAUGUUAGCGACUAUUUUCUAAUUACGGUUAUUAAGAAGUCCCUAUUUGUAAUUUUCCGCCAUAUUCCAUCAAACAUAUAUAUAUAUAAAUAUGUCUGUUUUUUUUUUCUAUAUUAAAGUCCUGGGGGAUUGCUUUAAAGUGUUCAAUGAGAAGUCGAUUAAUCGAAAAAUUUAAAAAAUCGACCGAAAUGUUUUUUUAUGCGAUGUAAUAGUUGAAGAAAAGUGACCAUUUUAUAACAAAUUAUAAAAUAAUAAUUUUACUAUAUAAUUUACCAUUAUUGAGUGGAUAUUUGAAACAAUCAACUUCUUUUAGUUUCAUAGGAAUUUAUUUCCAUUAUCUUAUGCCAUAGUUAUUCCACCACUUGAAGAUGUGUUUCAUAUCUUGAAGAUAACAUAAUUAAUUAACAAAUCAUCAGUAUCAUCGCCAUCAUAUUAAAAUAUGUAAAUCAUUUAAAAUCAAAUAUAUAUUGGAAGGAUCUUCCCAAUUUUAUUGGUCACACCUCAUUGUCAAUGUCAAUUAAGGUUUAUAGAUUAAUUUACAAUUUUUGACAAUCUUAUUCCAAAAUGACCUAAUUAUAUGAUCUCGUACUUUUCAGUUCUAAAGUAUUCGAUUAAAGAACUUUGCAGUCUGCAGAAGAGAUUGAAAAACAUUUAUUUAUUUAUUUGUAAAAACUGUUUUUCAACCAAACACAAAGUUAGUUUAAAAUUUUUAUAUCUUGGUGUUUAAUUGGUUGAAAUAUAGUUCUUGCAAGUAAAAAUUGUUGCAAGGCAUUUCAAGUAAAUGAAAAUUUGGUUAACAAGUCCAAACUUUCUAUUUAUUUCAUGAUCAAUUAAUAACACGCGAGAAAUUUUACGAAUCACGCAUUAAUACUUUUUACUUUGUAUUAAAAUCCUAAUUCUCAUAAAACUUUGAGGAAAAAGAGAGAGAGGAAAAAACCAUUCUUCUUUGUUUACAAUACAAAUUAUAAGUCUUCACUGGAAAAUAUUGCUCAAAGGGAUUAUCAUCAUCAUUCAAAAAAAAAAAGGGGACGAGGUGUUGUUUCUCCUAUCAUUUGGUAUUUGGUUAGAAUUAUGCGGGUAUUAGUAAUAUAUAAAUUAGUUAUGAAUGAAUUUAUAUACUAUUAUUUUAAUAAGGGUUCGAAUAUUCACGUAUAAGUUAUACCUGUAGAUGUUAUUUCACCUUUGAUCCUAUAAAGUAAUACAAAAAUUUUCUCAUAACUUAUUCUAUUAUGUAGGUUUCUAAGUUACUAAUCAAAUAUCAUAUUUAAUUAAUACAUGAAUAACUUAUAUGAUCCUAACGAGUUAUCAAAUGUAUGAUAUUAUUUAUGUAACAUUUAAUAUUUGUAUAACUCACCUCCAAAUCAGCUAUCAAAAAGAAUAAUUUACUCAAAAUAGCAAUUCAAAACUAUAAUUUCCUAUUACAACUAAUUAUUUUUCACAUGUUAGCUAUUUUUAUAAUAAAAACUAAUUAGUUGAUUUUCACAUGUACUCAACUUUAAUUUGAUUAAUAAUUGAUUAAAAAAAAAUUAAUUAGUUGAAGCAAUGAUCUUAUGAGCUGUAGUCCAUGGAUACUUCUUUGUUUGUACUGUUGUAUCAAAAAUACCCUUUUUCUUAUUUUUCGUAGAGGACAAUAUGCAUUUCGAACUUCUAUAAAUUAUUUAUUUGUCUUGUGCUUGUUUCAGUAUCUGUACGAUCUAGAUGUCCAAUGGACCCCCUCCCCCAUUCCUACUCAAUUAUUCAAAUUUUACCAAUUUGCAUUAUGAUAGUAGUUGUAUAGUUGAAAUUUUCUAUUGUAGAUGUAUUUUCGAUUCUUUACUCUCUUUUCUUUAAUUCCUAACGUAAUAAAAUAAUUCUAUAAAAGACCAUGUGGAUUUUAAUGUUUUACAUGACUUUAUUUCCUAAUGUAUACCCCCCUUCCACCCCCUCUACUUUUUAAAGUUACUAGAUGAGUUUUGGUUGUACUUAGUACGGGCCCAACAUGAUAACUUAGUUUCAAUAAAUUUUUCUCAAUAAUUUAUUGUGAAAGAAACAACAUUUUUCUAAUCGAACACCGUGCUCCAAAUUUAAAGUAUUAGGUAUAAAACUUUAUAGCUUAAUUGAAACUGAGAUAAAUAAAAAUGAAGCAUAACUACAGCUGAAGUACAUUAGACACACACUUUCAUUUUGAAGAGCCUUUUAUGAAAUAUUUUUUAUUCUCAGAGUAUACAUGUUCAUUCUAUAUAGGUUUACAAUUUUUUGACUUGUGAAGGAAGUGGAGCAACUGGAUAAAAAAUGGGAAAAGGACAUUGUUGUAUUGCAAGGUCGGACCUAAGCUGAUUGUCUUUUUUGUAAACUUGCAUAAUAUAAAUUUGACCUUUCAUCCAAUAACAUCUUAGCUUUUAGCACAAGUGAAUUCAAUGAUAAAGAAAAAGCGACUUAAUUAUUGAACAUUUGCUUCAACAACAGUAAGUAUGUCUAUAAAAAAGGGUGCUUUUCAUGUUGUACAUACUAUGAGGCAACAAUGAAAUCAAAAUCAAAAUGGAAAAGCUUCAACAAUAAUAUUUACAAUAAAUAAUAAUAGAAGGGAGAGUCGAUUAACUUUUCACAGUGCUUUCUAAAUUAGCUUAAGUUAAUGAAAAAGUACAAACACAAUAAAUUAUUAAAUCUUUAUUUUAGUAGGUUCAAUAAUUAAUAUCAGUUCAAGCUGCAUUGUGACCACAUUACAAUCAUUCCAUUGUGUAAUCGUACUUAUGAAAAACUACAGAAUCUCAGAAUAAGAAUAUUUAAGUUUCAUUUGAAAUGAAGGGAUAAUCUGAAACACUUAUGGUCCUUUGUUAUUUGUAUUAUCAUUUAUCAAUGUAGUGCCAAUAUGUUAGUUUGUGUAAUUAUACUUAAUUAUUAUUGAAAAUAUAACAACACUACCAAUUUUGUCAAAUCUGUAAUUUGAUAACUAAAGAAAAGGAAUGAUUACAAUUAUAUAGAUUAGAUCAAAGAAAAAUAAAUUAACCGAUAAAGCUAUUAUAUCUGAGUAUUGAAAAACAUAAUUGUUCAAUUUUGCAGACAUAGAUUAAAAUAUAUCAAGAGAGGAUAUAACACAAAUGAUCUUCUGAAAAGGUGCAAAGGUAUGUUGAUAAUGAAUUCAUUUACAUUAUAAUGAAUUUAUAUUUUUUGUUAUACAUCUUUUCAGAGGUUAGUGUCAUAAGCUAUGAUAGUCUAGGGAUGAUGUAUAUUUUAGAUUUUAGAGCUGUAAAAUAAUAGAUUUUUUUAAAGUUAAACCUCAACCUUUCUCUAUAAAUUUUCAUUAAAAUGAAUAAAGGACUAUCAAGUCAUGAGAAAUAAGAAAAGAUACAUAUUUAGUGCCAUCAAUUCAAGUGUGAAUAAAAGCUCGCCGCUUUCAUAAAACUUUCGAUACAUUUCACUUAUAAAAUUGUUAUGUAGCCAUAUAAAUUCAAGGUAUGAUGAAGUAGUACAACACCACAAAAAUAACGCUGGACAGUUAACAUAGUUAUCUAUCAAGAAAAAGUAUAAGGUGAGCAAAAAACUAAGUCACAAGAAGUAUUGAAACUGUUAAUUAUCAAAUGUGAACAAGCGAAUUGUAAAUACAUAUGUUACCUAUGGGAGAUUUACAAGAGAGACAAUAUUUAUUUUCAAGAAUCCAGCUUUAACAAUUUUCUUGAGGAAAUGUACACCAAUAGCAGAUAACGCUACAAAGAUUAAUGAGAGACAAAGCUUAUAUUAUGUUCCAUCCCAUUUAACCUGCACAACACGAAAAUUAAAUGCAUCAAUGAUUGCCUAUUUAAGGUACUACAAUGUUAACAAUAUAUAACAGACCAAGACACAAUAAAAGAAAGCACACCUAUCAGUAACUCAUACCUCCAAGAAAAUAAUUAAUAAUAAGCUAAACAUAUAUUCUGAAUUAAAUUGAUUACUGGUGUCAAAUAAACACUAAGAAAAGAUAUAAACAUUUUUUUUCUAUGUAUUCAAUUCAGCUCAGUCAGUUACAGUAAUAAAGAUAAAGUUUAUAAAAUAUAAAAAUAAGAACGAUGUUUAGGAAAAUUUAUAGAAUUAAUGUACUACUUGGAUUGCUAAAUCAAAAAUUGCCCUUUCUAUUUUGCCCUUUCUCAAACAUACUUGAAUAUAAACUCAGAAAAAAUAGGAAGAACUUUAAAAAGGGAUCACAAAUAUUAAGAUAUUGACAAUAUCAUUCAACUUUAUAUUGGAUAAGAUAAAGUUCUAUUGGAUCAGUCUUAAUCCCUCGAGAUGGAGGGGCCAUAAGGAUGAAAAAAUUCUCCAUCAAACAGAGUAUACUACUCUUGCCAUAAAAUCAUGAUUUAACAAAACUCGAGCUUUGAAAGGAGAUUCUUUUAAGAAAUUCAUCAAACAUUGUGUCACAAGCUUCAAGUACUAUCACUCGUAUGCUAUUAAACAUAAUUUCAUUGGAAGUGAUUUUCUGAUAAUAAAGACUCAUUUAGUACAAGGAAUAAGGAAUGACUAAUUUCAAGAUUAAUCUUAGGAUGAACUAAUCCUUGUUUGGUUGAAAUAAAAUACAUAAAAAAAUUAUUUUAAAUUAGCUAUCGAUGAUUGUAAUAUUAUUUUUCAUCCCAAAAUAACAUAUUUCUCACCAAACGAUCCUAAGAGUUAAAAGAAAUUCAACAAAAAAAAAAGGUAAGAAGACCAAAUGUAAAGGAAACAAAAUUAAAAUUCAAAUAUAAGUUUAAACCAAUAUCUUAGACCAUAUUAUAGCAAAAAGUAUAUUUACAUGUCCCGCUUAUGAAGACAGAGAACAUGCAACAAAAAAGGAACAAAAAGACCAAAAGAAAACCCAAAAUAAUUAAAUAACAUUAGCAAUAGCAAAACAGAAUAACAGAAAAAACAAAUAAAACCAAAACCAACAGGCAUUAACCUAAACAUUGUUAUAUCAAAAGUAUUAUGGGGAGACUAAAGAGAGAAAUUAACACUGGGAGGAAAGAAGAGCAGAAGAGAGAAAAGAAAGAAAGAAUAAUUCGAAAGGUUAUGAGUCACUGACAGAGAGGAAAUAGAUUGAAGAGUAGCAAUUGAAAUUACUUUCUUGAAAGUUGAAGGACAAUUGAAGAUUAUUCUGGUUAGAAUAUGUAGUUGUUUC
RNAcentral lists this long non-coding RNA (17787 nucleotides) under Capsicum annuum. Its description in RNAcentral is "long non-coding RNA (CANN_LNC016990)". Lineage: Eukaryota; Viridiplantae; Streptophyta; Magnoliopsida; Solanales; Solanaceae. The record is from RNAcentral.